UUCCGGUUGAUCCUGCCGGACCUGACUGCUAUCGGAUUGAUACUAAGCCAUGCGAGUCAUUGUAGCAAUACAAGGCAUACGGCUCAGUAACGCGUAGUCAACCUAACCUAUGGACGGGAAUAACCUCGGGAAACUGAGAAUAAUGCCCGAUAGAACAUUAUGCCUGGAAUGGUUUAUGUUCCAAAUGAUUUAUCGCCGUAGGAUGGGGCUGCGGCCUAUCAGUUUGUUGGUGAGGUAAUGGCCCACCAAGACUAUUACAGGUACGGGCUCUGAGAGGAGUAGCCCGGAGAUGGGUACUGAGACACGGACCCAGGCCCUAUGGGGCGCAGCAGGCGAGAAAACUUUGCAAUGUGCGAAAGCACGACAAGGUUAAUCCGAGUGGUUCCUGCUAAAGGAACCUUUUGUUAGUCCUAGAACCACUAACGAAUAAGGGGUGGGCAAGUCUGGUGUCAGCCGCCGCGGUAAAACCAGCACCUCAAGUGGUCAGGAUGAUUAUUGGGCCUAAAGCAUCCGUAGCCUGCUCUGUAAGUUUUCGGUUAAAUCUGUACGCUUAACGUACAGGCUGCCGGGAAUACUGCAAAGCUAGGGAGUGGGAGAGGUAGACGGUACUCGGUAGGAAGUGGUAAAAUGCUUUGAUCUAUCGAUGACCACCUGUGGCGAAGGCGGUCUACCANAACACGUCCGACGGUGAGGGAUGAAAGCUGGGGGAGCAAACCGGAUUAGAUACCCGGGUAGUCCCAGUUGUAAACUAUGCAAACUCAGUGAUGCAUUGGCUUGUGGCCAAUGCAGUGCUGCAGGGAAGCCGUUAAGUUUGCCGCCUGGGAAGUACGUACGCAAGUAUGAAACUUAAAGGAAUUGGCGGGGGAGCACCACAAGGGGUGAAGCCUGCGGUUCAAUUG
Molecule: ribosomal RNA, 899 nt
Filed under: uncultured archaeon
Lineage: Archaea
Description: bacterial SSU rRNA
Rfam family: Archaeal small subunit ribosomal RNA
Source: RNAcentral